GCCUGGUUGGCUCAGUCGGGUAGGCGUCUGACUUCAGCUCAGGUCAUGAUUUCAUGGUCCGUGGGUUCAAGCCCCACGUCAGGCU
Molecule: transfer RNA, 85 nt
Organism: Felis catus (domestic cat)
Lineage: Eukaryota; Metazoa; Chordata; Mammalia; Carnivora; Felidae
Rfam family: tRNA
About the family: Transfer RNA (tRNA) molecules are approximately 80 nucleotides in length. Their secondary structure includes four short double-helical elements and three loops (D, anti-codon, and T loops).
Source: Rfam